This 896-nucleotide small RNA is filed under the name Pan troglodytes (chimpanzee). Its description in RNAcentral is "processed transcript". Lineage: Eukaryota; Metazoa; Chordata; Mammalia; Primates; Hominidae. The record is from RNAcentral.
AGGGAACGGUACAAGGGAACGCUGGGGAGGGGAGAGAAUCUGGAGAGUUCCGGAAAAAGCAAGUAGGACUCUUUCCAGAAGUUCGGGCAAGAUUUUCCCUGGAUCAGGGCGUGGGUUCUCCAGUACUCGUCCCUCCCGGUCACCGAGAUGCUCUGAGUUUCCGGUCUGAACCUGAACUAAAGAGGUGUAGUCCCUCCUUUCUUGAACGGGAAAACUGAACGCACAUAGGUCCUUGCCACGCCUAAGGCUGCGGAGUGAGCAGAUGGAAAAUGCGGGACUCAAAACCUCCCCUCGCUAUUGUGCACGCGCCGGAGCAGCGGCGCACCAGCCCCCGGCUCCGGCGCCACCAUCUUCGCGCUAAGCUCUGGCCAAGGCCGCUGCGGCAUCGCAGUGAUCCGGACCAGCGGCCCUGCCAGCGGCCACGCCCUCCGAAUUCUCACGGCACCCCGAGACCUGCCCCUUGCUCGCCACGCCAGCCUGCGCCUGCUCAGCGAUCCCCGCUCCGGGGAGCCUCUGGACCGCGCACUGGUGCUCUGGUUCCCAGGUCCCCAGAGUUUCACCGGUGAGGACUGCGUGGAGUUCCACGUUCAUGGAGGCCCGGCAGUGGUGAGCGGCGUCCUGCAGGCCUUGGGCAGCGUGCCAGGGCUUCGACCGGCGGAGGCAGGCGAGUUCACCAGACGGGCGUUCGCCAAUGGGAAGCUGAACCUGACCGAAGUGGAGGGGCUGGCGGACCUUAUCCACGCGGAAACAGAGGCGCAGCGGCGGCAGGCCCUCAGGCAGCUGGACGGAGAGCUAGGCCACCUCUGCCGUGGCUGGGCCGAGACCCUCACCAAAGCUCUGGCCCACGUGGAGGCCUAUAUCGAUUUCGGCGAGGAUGACAACCUGGAGGAGGGGGU